RNAcentral lists this ribosomal RNA (403 nucleotides) under uncultured bacterium. RNAcentral's name for it is "partial 16S ribosomal RNA". It matches the Rfam family "Bacterial small subunit ribosomal RNA", at positions 30 to 526 of the family's 1533-position model. The record is from RNAcentral.
AUUGAACGCUGGCGGCAGGCCUAACACAUGCAAGUCGAGCGAGCGGCGGACGGGUGAGUAAUGUAUGGGGACUGCCCGAUAGAGGGGGAUAACUACUGGAAACGGUGGCUAAUACCGCAUACUAUCGGAUAACCCAUAUGGGAUUAGCUAUUAGGUGGGGUAAAGGCUCACCUAGGCGACGAUCUCUUGCUGGUCUGAGAGGAUGAUGAGACACACUGGAACUAGGACACGGCCCAGACUCCUACGGAGGCAGCAGUGGAGAAUAUUACACAAUGGGCGCAAGCCUGAAACAGCCAUGCCGCGUGUAUGAAGAAGGCCUUAGGGUUGUAAAGUACUUUCAGCUGGGAGGCGUUACCCGCAGAAGAAGCACCGGCUAACUCCGUGCCAGCAGACGCGGUAAUUC